This 415-nucleotide ribosomal RNA is filed under the name uncultured bacterium. RNAcentral's name for it is "bacterial SSU rRNA". It matches the Rfam family "Bacterial small subunit ribosomal RNA", at positions 355 to 765 of the family's 1533-position model. The record is from RNAcentral.
UUAAGAAUCUUGCGCAAUGGACGAAAGUCUGACGCAGCGACGCCGCGUGAAGGAUGAAGGCUUUCGGGUUGUAAACUUCAGUAGACUGGGAAGAAAAAGUAAGUUCGUUGAGGGCUUACAUUGACGGUACCAGUCCAAAGCACCGGCUAACUACGUGCCAUCAGCCGCGGUAAUACGUAGGGAGCAAGCGUUGUUCGGAUUUACUGGGCGUAAAGGGCGCGUAGGCGGCGCGGUAAGUCACUUGUGAAAUCUCUGAGCUUAACUCAGAACGGCCAAGUGAUACUGCUGUGCUAGAGUGCGGAAGAGGCAACCGGUAUUCUGGGUGUAUCGGUGAAAUGCGUGGAUAUCAAGAGGAACACCUGAGGCGAAGUCGGGUUGCUGGGCCGACACUGACGCUGAUGCGCGAAAGCCAGGG